GACCUCUUUUAUCAAGGCAAGAAGAUCUGACGGUACUUGAUCAAUAAGCCAUGGCUAAUUCCGUGCCAGCAGCCGCGGUAAUACGGGAGUGGCAAGCGUUGUCCGGAAUUAUUGGGCGUACAGAGCUCGUAGGUGGUCGAUCACGUCGGAUGUGAAAAUCUGAGGCUUAACCUCAGACCUGCAUUCGAUACGGGUUGACUAGAGUGUGGUAAGGGAGACUGGAACUCCUGAUGUAGCGGUGGAAUGCGCAGAUAUCAGGAGGAACACCGAUGGCGAAGGCAGGUCUCUGGGCCAUUACUGACACUGAGGAGCGAAAGUGUGGGGAGCGAACAGGAUUAGAUACCCUGGUAGUCCACACCGUAAACGGUGGGCGCUAGUUGUGGGAACCUUCCAAGGUUUCUGCGACGCAGCUAACGCAUUAAGCGCCCCGCCUGAGCGAGUACGGACGCCAGACUAACAACUCAAAGAAAUCGACGGGGCCCCGCACAAGCAGAGGAGAAUGGGAAUAAUUAGACGCAACGCGAA
This 525-nucleotide ribosomal RNA is filed under the name uncultured bacterium. RNAcentral describes it as "bacterial SSU rRNA". It matches the Rfam family "Bacterial small subunit ribosomal RNA", at positions 428 to 965 of the family's 1533-position model. The record is from RNAcentral.